RNAcentral lists this ribosomal RNA (834 nucleotides) under uncultured bacterium. Its description in RNAcentral is "bacterial SSU rRNA". It matches the Rfam family "Bacterial small subunit ribosomal RNA", at positions 8 to 815 of the family's 1533-position model. The record is from RNAcentral.
AGAGUUUGAUCAUGGCUCAGAAUGAACGCUGGCGGCGUGCUUAACACAUGCAAGUCGCACGAGAACUCUUCUGCUUGCAGAAGAUAGUAAAGUGGCGCACGGGUGAGUAACGCGUGGGUAAUCUACCUCUGAAUUGGGGAUAACAUUGUGAAAGCGAUGCUAAUACCGAAUAAUAUCCCGAGAACUUAGGCUUUUGGGAUCAAAGGUGGCCUCUACAUGUAAGCUACUGUUUAGAGAUGAGCCCGCGUACCAUUAGCUUGUUGGUAGGGUAAUGGCCUACCAAGGCAACGAUGGUUAGCUGGUCUGAGAGGAUGAUCAGCCACACUGGAACUGACACACGGUCCAGACUCCUACGGGAGGCAGCAGUGAGGAAUUUUGCGCAAUGGGGGAAACCCUGACGCAGCAACGCCGCGUGAGUGAUGAAGGCUUUCGAGUCGUAAAGCUCUGUCAAGUGAGAAGAACCUACUUUUUGUUAAUACCAUUAAGUACUGACGGUAUCACUGAAGGAAGCACCGGCUAACUCCGUGCCAGCAGCCGCGGUAAUACGGAGGGUGCAAGCGUUAUUCGGAAUUAUUGGGCGUAAAGGGCGCGUAGGCGGUCUUUUAAGUCAGAUGUGAAAGCCCGGGGCUCAACCCUGNAAGUGCAUUUGAAACUAAUGGACUUGAGUAUGGGAGAGGGAAGUGGAAUUCCUGGUGUAGAGGUGAAAUUCGUAGAUAUCAGGGGAACACCGGUGGCGAAGNNNACUUCCUGGNCCAAUACUGANNCUGAGGNGCGAAGGNGUGGGGAGCAAACAGGAUUANAUACCCUGGNAGUCCACGCAGUAAACGNUGAACA